UACGGGGGGGUAAGCGUUGUUCGGAAUUACUGGGCGUAAAGGGCUCGUAGGCGGCCAACUAAGUCAGACGUGAAAUCCCUCAGCUUAACUGGGGAACUGCGUCUGAUACUGGAUGGCUUGGAUUUGGGAGAGGGAUGCGGAAUUCCAGGUGUAGCGGUGAAAUGCGUAGAUAUUCGGAAGAACACCAGUGGCGAAGGCGACUUACUGGACGAUUGUUGACGCUGAGGUGCGAAAGCGUGGGGAGCAAACAGG
Molecule: ribosomal RNA, 252 nt
Filed under: uncultured bacterium
Lineage: Bacteria
Description: partial 16S ribosomal RNA
Rfam family: Bacterial small subunit ribosomal RNA
Source: RNAcentral